Molecule: ribosomal RNA, 498 nt
Filed under: uncultured bacterium
Lineage: Bacteria
Description: partial 16S ribosomal RNA
Rfam family: Bacterial small subunit ribosomal RNA
Source: RNAcentral
GACGAACGCUGGCGGCGUGCCUAAUACAUGCAAGUCGAGCGGACGAUUCGAAGUCUUGCUUUUGCAUCGUUAGCGGCGGACGGGUGAGUAACACGUGGGCAACCUGCCCUGUAGACGGGGAUAACACCGAGAAAUCGGUGCUAAUACCGGAUAACACGAAAUGUCGCAUGACGUUUCGUUGAAAGGCGGCGCAAGCUGCCGCUACAGGAUGGGCCCGCGGCGCAUUAGCUAGUUGGUGAGGUAACGGCUCACCAAGGCGACGAUGCGUAGCCGACCUGAGAGGGUGAUCGGCUACACUGGGACUGAGACACGGCCCAGACUCCUACGGGAGGCAGCAGUAGGGAAUCUUCCGCAAUGGACGAAAGUCUGACGGAGCAACGCCGCGUGAGCGAAGAAGGCCUUCGGGUCGUAAAGCUCUGUUGUUAGGGAAGAACAAGUAACGUAGUAACUGACGUUACUAUGACGGUACCUAACGAGAAAGCCACGGCUAACUACGUG